RNAcentral lists this ribosomal RNA (2903 nucleotides) under Citrobacter freundii. RNAcentral describes it as "23S ribosomal RNA". It matches the Rfam family "Bacterial large subunit ribosomal RNA". Lineage: Bacteria; Pseudomonadati; Pseudomonadota; Gammaproteobacteria; Enterobacterales; Enterobacteriaceae. The record is from RNAcentral.
UUAAGCGACUAAGCGUACACGGUGGAUGCCCUGGCAGUCAGAGGCGAUGAAGGACGUGCUAAUCUGCGAUAAGCGUCGGUAAGGUGAUAUGAACCGUUAUAACCGGCGAUUUCCGAAUGGGGAAACCCAGUGUGAUUCGUCACACUAUCAUUACGUGAAUACAUAGCGUAAUGAAGCGAACCGGGGGAACUGAAACAUCUAAGUACCCCGAGGAAAAGAAAUCAACCGAGAUUCCCCCAGUAGCGGCGAGCGAACGGGGAGCAGCCCAGAGUCUGAAUCAGCUUGUGUGUUAGUGGAACGGUCUGGAAAGUCCGACGGUACAGGGUGAUAGUCCCGUACACCAAAAUGCACAGGUUGUGAACUCGAAGAGUAGGGCGGGACACGUGGUAUCCUGUCUGAAUAUGGGGGGACCAUCCUCCAAGGCUAAAUACUCCUGACUGACCGAUAGUGAACCAGUACCGUGAGGGAAAGGCGAAAAGAACCCCGGCGAGGGGAGUGAAAAAGAACCUGAAACCGUGUACGUACAAGCAGUGGGAGCCUCUUUAUGGGGUGACUGCGUACCUUUUGUAUAAUGGGUCAGCGACUUAUAUUCUGUAGCAAGGUUAACCGUAUAGGGGAGCCGAAGGGAAACCGAGUCUUAACUGGGCGUUAAGUUGCAGGGUAUAGACCCGAAACCCGGUGAUCUAGCCAUGGGCAGGUUGAAGGUUGGGUAACACUAACUGGAGGACCGAACCGACUAAUGUUGAAAAAUUAGCGGAUGACUUGUGGCUGGGGGUGAAAGGCCAAUCAAACCGGGAGAUAGCUGGUUCUCCCCGAAAGCUAUUUAGGUAGCGCCUCGUGAAUUCAUCUUCGGGGGUAGAGCACUGUUUCGGCUAGGGGGUCAUCCCGACUUACCAACCCGAUGCAAACUGCGAAUACCGAAGAAUGUUAUCACGGGAGACACACGGCGGGUGCUAACGUCCGUCGUGAAGAGGGAAACAACCCAGACCGCCAGCUAAGGUCCCAAAGUCAUGGUUAAGUGGGAAACGAUGUGGGAAGGCACAGACAGCCAGGAUGUUGGCUUAGAAGCAGCCAUCAUUUAAAGAAAGCGUAAUAGCUCACUGGUCGAGUCGGCCUGCGCGGAAGAUGUAACGGGGCUAAACCAUGCACCGAAGCUGCGGCAGCGACACUAUGUGUUGUUGGGUAGGGGAGCGUUCUGUAAGCCGUUGAAGGUGUACUGUGAGGUAUGCUGGAGGUAUCAGAAGUGCGAAUGCUGACAUAAGUAACGAUAAUGCGGGUGAAAAACCCGCACGCCGGAAGACCAAGGGUUCCUGUCCAACGUUAAUCGGGGCAGGGUGAGUCGACCCCUAAGGCGAGGCCGAAAGGCGUAGUCGAUGGGAAACAGGUUAAUAUUCCUGUACUUGGUGUUACUGCGAAGGGGGGACGGAGAAGGCUAUGUUAGCCGGGCGACGGUUGUCCCGGUUUAAGCAUGUAGGCGGAGGUUCCAGGUAAAUCCGGUACCUUUUAACGCUGAGGUGUGAUGACGAGGCACUACGGUGCUGAAGUAACAAAUGCCCUGCUUCCAGGAAAAGCCUCUAAGCAUCAGGUAACACGAAAUCGUACCCCAAACCGACACAGGUGGUCAGGUAGAGAAUACCAAGGCGCUUGAGAGAACUCGGGUGAAGGAACUAGGCAAAAUGGUGCCGUAACUUCGGGAGAAGGCACGCUGAUAUGUAGGUGAAGUGAUUUACUCAUGGAGCUGAAAUCAGUCGAAGAUACCAGCUGGCUGCAACUGUUUAUUAAAAACACAGCACUGUGCAAACACGAAAGUGGACGUAUACGGUGUGACGCCUGCCCGGUGCCGGAAGGUUAAUUGAUGGGGUUAUCCGUAAGGAGAAGCUCUUGAUCGAAGCCCCGGUAAACGGCGGCCGUAACUAUAACGGUCCUAAGGUAGCGAAAUUCCUUGUCGGGUAAGUUCCGACCUGCACGAAUGGCGUAAUGAUGGCCAGGCUGUCUCCACCCGAGACUCAGUGAAAUUGAACUCGCUGUGAAGAUGCAGUGUACCCGCGGCAAGACGGAAAGACCCCGUGAACCUUUACUAUAGCUUGACACUGAACACUGGUCCUUGAUGUGUAGGAUAGGUGGGAGGCUUUGAAGUGUGGACGCCAGUCUGCAUGGAGCCAUCCUUGAAAUACCACCCUUUAAUGGCUGGUGUUCUAACGUGGACCCGUAAUCCGGGUUGCGGACAGUGUCUGGUGGGUAGUUUGACUGGGGCGGUCUCCUCCUAAAGAGUAACGGAGGAGCACGAAGGUUAGCUAAUCCUGGUCGGACAUCAGGAGGUUAGUGCAAAGGCAUAAGCUAGCUUGACUGCGAGAGUGACGGCUCGAGCAGGUGCGAAAGCAGGUCUUAGUGAUCCGGUGGUUCUGAAUGGAAGGGCCAUCGCUCAACGGAUAAAAGGUACUCCGGGGAUAACAGGCUGAUACCGCCCAAGAGUUCAUAUCGACGGCGGUGUUUGGCACCUCGAUGUCGGCUCAUCACAUCCUGGGGCUGAAGUAGGUCCCAAGGGUAUGGCUGUUCGCCAUUUAAAGUGGUACGCGAGCUGGGUUUAGAACGUCGUGAGACAGUUCGGUCCCUAUCUGCCGUGGGCGCUGGAGAAUUGAGGGGGGCUGCUCCUAGUACGAGAGGACCGGAGUGGACGCAUCACUGGUGUUCGGGUUGUCAUGCCAAUGGCAUUGCCCGGUAGCUAAAUGCGGAAGAGAUAAGUGCUGAAAGCAUCUAAGCACGAAACUUGCCCCGAGAUGAGUUCUCCCUGAGACUAUAAGUCUCCUGAAGGAACGUUGAAGACGACGACGUUGAUAGGUCGGGUGUGUAAGUGUAGCGAUACAUUGAGCUAACCGAUACUAAUGAACCGUGAGGCUUAACCU